AUUGAACGCUGGCGGCAGGCCUAACACAUGCAAGUCGAACGAGUGGCGGACGGGUGAGUAAUGUCUGGGAAACUGCCCGAUGGAGGGGGAUAACUACUGGAAACGGUAGCUAAUACCGCAUACCAACGGAUGUGCCCAGAUGGGAUGAGCUAGUAGGUGGGGUAACGGCUCACCUAGGCGACGAUCCCUCGCUGGUCUGAGAGGAGGACCAGCCACACUGGAACUGAGACACGGCCCAGACUCCGACGGUAGGCAGCAGUGGGGAAUAUUGCCCAAUGGGCGCAAGCCUGAUGCAGCCAUGCCGCGUGUAUGAAGAAGGCCUUCGGGUUGUAAAGUACUUUCAGCGGGGAGGCGUUACCCGCAGAAGAAGCACCGGCUAACUCCGUGCCAGCAGCCGCGGUAAUAC
RNAcentral lists this ribosomal RNA (406 nucleotides) under uncultured bacterium. RNAcentral describes it as "partial 16S ribosomal RNA". It matches the Rfam family "Bacterial small subunit ribosomal RNA", at positions 29 to 526 of the family's 1533-position model. The record is from RNAcentral.